CCUUUAAGACUGGGAUAACUUCGGGAAACCGGAGCUAAUACCGGAUAACAUGUAAGACCGCAUGGUCUUACAUUAAAAGAUGGCUUCGGCUAUCACUUAUAGAUGGGCCCGCGGCGCAUUAGCUAGUUGGUGAGGUAAUGGCUCACCAAGGCGACGAUGCGUAGCCGACCUGAGAGGGUGAUCGGCCACACUGGGACUGAGACACGGCCCAGACUCCUACGGGAGGCAGCAGUAGGGAAUCUUCCGCAAUGGACGAAAGUCUGACGGAGCAACGCCGCGUGAACGAUGAAGGCUUUCGGGUCGUAAAGUUCUGUUGUUAGGGAAGAACAAGUACCGGAGUAACUGCUGGUACCUUGACCGUACCUAACCAGAAAGCCACGGCUAACUACGUGCCAACAGCCGCGGUAAUACCUAGGUGGCAAGCGUUAUCCGGAAUUAUUGGGCGUAAAGCGCUCGCAAGCGGUCUUUUAAGUCUGAUGUGAAAGCCCACGGCUCCACCGAGGAGGGGCAUUGGAAACUGGGAGACUUGAGUGCAGAAGAAGAGAGUGGAAUUCCACGUGUAGCGGUGAAAUGCGGAGAGAUGUGGAGGAACACCAGUGGCGGAUGCGACUCUCUGGUCUGUAACUGACCCUAAGAGCGAAAGCGUGGGGAGCGAACAGAAUAAAUACCCUGGUAGNCACGCCGUA
This 686-nucleotide ribosomal RNA is filed under the name Bacillus sp. (in: firmicutes). RNAcentral's name for it is "bacterial SSU rRNA". It matches the Rfam family "Bacterial small subunit ribosomal RNA", at positions 129 to 804 of the family's 1533-position model. The record is from RNAcentral. Lineage: Bacteria; Bacillati; Bacillota; Bacilli; Caryophanales; Bacillaceae.